RNAcentral lists this ribosomal RNA (119 nucleotides) under Helianthus annuus (common sunflower). The record is from RNAcentral. Lineage: Eukaryota; Viridiplantae; Streptophyta; Magnoliopsida; Asterales; Asteraceae.
GGUUGCGAUUAUACCAGCACUAAUGCACUGGAUCCCAUCAGAACUCCGCAGUUAAGCGUGCCUGGGUGAGAGCAGUACUAGGAUGGGUGACCCCCUGGGAAGUGCUCGUGUUGUAACCC